GUCGAACGAGCGAGAGAGAGCUUGCUUUCUCGAGCGAGUGGCGAACGGGUGACUUACGCGUGAGGAACCUGCCUCAAAGAGGGGGACAACAGUUGGAAACGACUGCUAAUACCGCAUAAGCCCACGACCCGGCAUCGGGUAGAGGGAAAAGGAGCAAUCCGCUUUGAGAUGGCCUCGCGUCCGAUUAGCUAGUUGGUGAGGUAAUGGCCCACCAAGGCGACGAUCGGUAGCCGGACUGAGAGGUUGAACGGCCACAUUGGGACUGAGACACGGCCCAGACUCCUACGGGAGGCAGCAGUGGGGAAUAUUGCACAAUGGGGGAAACCCUGAUGCAGCGACGCCGCGUGGAGGAAGAAGGUCUUCGGAUUGUAAACUCCUGUUGUUGAGGAAGAUAAUGACGGUACUCAACAAGGAAGUGACGGCUAACUACGUGCCAGCAACCGCGGUAAAACGUAGGUCACAAGCGUUGUCCGGAAUUACUGGGUGUAAAGGGAGCGCAGGCGGGAAGGCAAGUUGGAAGUGAAAUCCAUGGGCUCAACCCAUGAACUGCUUUCAAAACUGUUUUUCUUGAGUAGUGCAGAGGUAGGCGGAAUUCCCGGUGUAGCGGUGGAAUGCGUAGAUAUCGGGAGGAACACCAGUGGCGAAGGCGGCCUACUGGGCACCAACUGACGCUGAGGCUCGAAAGUGUGGGUAGCAAACAGGAUUAGAUACCCUGGUAGUCCACACUGUAAACGAUGAUUACUAGGUGUUGGAGGAUUGACCCCUUCAGUGCCGCAGUUAACACAAUAAGUAAUCCACCUGGGGAGU
This 807-nucleotide ribosomal RNA is filed under the name uncultured bacterium. RNAcentral's name for it is "bacterial SSU rRNA". It matches the Rfam family "Bacterial small subunit ribosomal RNA", at positions 61 to 881 of the family's 1533-position model. The record is from RNAcentral.